RNAcentral lists this ribosomal RNA (434 nucleotides) under uncultured bacterium. RNAcentral describes it as "bacterial SSU rRNA". It matches the Rfam family "Bacterial small subunit ribosomal RNA", at positions 8 to 456 of the family's 1533-position model. The record is from RNAcentral.
AGAGUUUGAUCCUGGCUCAGAAUCAACGCUGGCGGCGUGCCUAACACAUGCAAGUCGAACGAGAAAGGGUAGCAAUACCUGAGUACAGUGGCGCACGGGUGAGUAACACGUGACUAACCUACCCUGGAGUGGGGAAUAACUGAGGGAAACCUUAGCUAAUACCGCAUAAUACCUACGGGUCAAAGGAGCAAUUCGCUUCAGGAGGGGGUCGCGGCCGAUUAGUUAGUUGGCGGGGUAAUGGCCCACCAAGACAGUGAUCGGUAUCCGGCCUGAGAGGGCGCACGGACACACUGGAACUGAAACACGGUCCAGACUCCUACGGGAGGCAGCAGUGGGGAAUCUUGCGCAAUGGGGGAAACCCUGACGCAGCAACGCCGCGUGGAGGAUGACAUCCCUUGGGAUGUAAACUCCUUUCGAUCGGGACGAUUAUGACG